AUUGAACGCUGGCGGCAUGCCUUACACAUGCAAGUCGAACGGCAGCACGGGAGCAAUCCUGGUGGCGAGUGGCGAACGGGUGAGUAAUAUAUCGGAACGUGCCCAGUCGUGGGGAUAACGUAGCGAAAGCUACGCUAAUACCGCAUACGAUCUAUGGAUGAAAGCGGGGGAUCGCAAGACCUCGCGCGAUUGGAGCGGCCGAUAUCAGAUUAGGUAGUUGGUGAGGUAAAGGCUCACCAAGCCGACGAUCUGUAGCUGGUCUGAGAGGACGACCAGCCACACUGGGACUGAGACACGGCCCAGACUCCUACGGGAGGCAGCAGCGGGGAAUUUUGGACAAUGGGCGCAAGCCUGAUCCAGCAAUGCCGCGUGCAGGAUGAACGCCUUCGGGUUGUAAACUGCUUUUGUACGGAACGAAACGGUGAGCUCUAAUACAGUUUGCUAAUGACGGUACCGUAAGAAUAAGCACCGGCUAACUACGU
RNAcentral lists this ribosomal RNA (482 nucleotides) under uncultured bacterium. RNAcentral describes it as "bacterial SSU rRNA". It matches the Rfam family "Bacterial small subunit ribosomal RNA", at positions 30 to 506 of the family's 1533-position model. The record is from RNAcentral.